This is a small nucleolar RNA of Gouania willdenowi (blunt-snouted clingfish), 216 nucleotides long. Ensembl annotates it as small nucleolar RNA U3. Lineage: Eukaryota; Metazoa; Chordata; Actinopteri; Blenniiformes; Gobiesocidae. The record is from Ensembl.
AAGACUAUACUUUCAGGGAUCAUUUCUAUAGUUAAUGACUUGAGAAAUGUGUUUCUAAAGUGUCUGGUCUCACUACCCACGAUGAUGAGUCAUGAUACUCCUUUCUGAGCAUGAAGCAGGCAGAGAGAAAUGAUUCAGUUCAUACGUUCUCUGUCAUUGAGGAUCGUUCUUGGUUCUUUUAAGAGCUUUGAGGAAAGGAAUAUGAUCAGAGUGGUA